AGCGAACGCUGGCGGCAGGCCUAACACAUGCAAGUCGAACGGAUCCUUCGGGAUUAGUGGCGGACGGGUGAGUAACACGUGGGAACGUGCCCUUUGGUUCGGAACAACUCAGGGAAACUUGAGCUAAUACCGGAUGUGCCCUUCGGGGGAAAGAUUUAUCGCCAUUGGAGCGGCCCGCGUCUGAUUAGCUAGUUGGUGAGGUAACGGCCCACCAAGGCGACGAUCAGUAGCUGGUCUGAGAGGAUGAUCAGCCACACUGGGACUGAGACACGGCCCAGACUCCUACGGGGGGCAGCAGUGGGGAAUCUUGCGCAAUGGGCGAAAGCCUGACGCAGCCAUGCCGCGUGAAUGAUGAAGGUCUUAGGAUUGUAAAAUUCCUUCAGCGGGGACGAUAAUGACGGUACCCGCAGAAGAAGCUCCGGCUAACUUCGUG
This 433-nucleotide ribosomal RNA is filed under the name uncultured bacterium. RNAcentral describes it as "partial 16S ribosomal RNA". It matches the Rfam family "Bacterial small subunit ribosomal RNA", at positions 29 to 507 of the family's 1533-position model. The record is from RNAcentral.